GCGAGCAGCCUUUCCCUUUACAUAUACAGUCACUGGCAGGUACGGUAACUUCCUUAUAAUUUUCCUUUUACAGUGUGAAUGAAGAUGUAAGUUAACACACACUUGAAUACGCCAACAGACUACCCUUCCACAUAUACAGUCAUUGGCAGGUAAGUUUCUUCUAAUUUCCCUUAUACAGUGUGAAUGAAGAUGUAAGUUAACAUACACUUGAAUACGCCAACAGACUACCCUUCCACAUAUACAGUCAUUGGCAGGUAUAUUCCUCUCCAUUUUCUUAUGCCAUGUGGACAAAUAAAUUCACACACACAUAAUACCACACUGAGCAGACCUUCCCCUUACAAAACUCAAUCAUCCUCGGGUAGGUCACCGUGCACAACUGUUUAUAUAUCUCGCCACGGCCUCCGAGCCUUACCGUCACACCCCAGAGCUGUCACACCACACACACACGUACCCUCCCCCCGUACAGCCGUCUGCAUCAAUGUGUAUGUCUGUAGGUUGGUUACACUGCUACACUGGUCAUGGCUACACCCUAUUGCUCCCCUUGAGAAUGACACACACCACUGCAGCAACAGGCUUCUCAUACGACACACAGUAGAUAUAAUUCGUAGUCGCUAUAUGUACAGGGAAUUAGUUUUUUUUUUCGUUUUUCGCUUCAUAAUAUUACGCUGGAAGCCAGUCGUGAUUUAAGGCCAUAGAUUUCAAUACGAGCGGAACUUCUUUUUUCCAUCCUUGGCUACAACAGAAAACAGUUAUGAUAAUCCUGUGUUACGUCCUGCUGUGUUCUGAGUCGGUGGAUGGCGUGGCGUGGGUGGCGAAAGCAAGUGACGGUGGCGGAUGCAAGACCAAUGAUUUUGUUUACGUUAAAAAGUCAUUAGUCGUGUGAGGUGGAAGAACUGACAGAACUGAUGACCUAGGAAACUGUAAGCCACUAUGUCCUUGUUUGACGUGAGUGGAAAAACAGGUAACAGAGGCGGAUGCAAGACCAAUGAUUUUGUUUACGUUAAAGUCAUUAGUCGUGAGAGGUGGAAGAACUGAGAGAACUGAUAACCUAGGAAGCUGUAAGCCACUAUGUCCUUGUUUGACGUGGGUAGCAAAACAAGUAUUAGUGGCGGAUGCAAGACCAAUGAUUUUGUUAACGUUAAAAGUCAUUAGUCGUGUGAGGUGAACUGAUAACCUAGGACACUGUAAGCCACUAUGUCCUUGUUUGACGUGAGCGCAAAAACAAGUAUUAGUGGUAGAUGCAAGACCAAUGAUUUUGUUAACGUUAAAGUCAUAAGUCGUGUGAGAGAACUGAUACAAGUCAAUCUAAGGAACUGUAAGGCAAUGGUGUGUAGGUAUUCAAAAUUGACCUAUCUUCUGGCACUCCUUACUCCUUCUCCUCCUCCAAUUUCUGUUUUUCCUUCCAUAUAUUUUUGCAGCAUGGAUUUUGCCUUCACUGGUAGCCUGGUAACAUACACUCCCAUGUCUUUCUCUGCCUCUGUGGUGGAUAGUGGAGUGGUAUUGGGUAGCCUGGUAACAUACAGUCCCAGGUCUUUCUCUGCCUCUGUGGUGGAUAGUGGAGUGUUUCACAUGUGGUAUUGGUGUGCUGGAUAUCCCCUCCCAAGGUGCAGGACUUUACAUUUUUCUUCAGUGAACUGUAGCAGCCACUUUUUGCUCCAUUCCUGUAGCUUGGUGAUGUCUUCUUGUAGGGAAUCCACAGUCAAGGGGUUAAGAGGUGACAUGGGGUGUUGUGUGGUCUGAAUAUCUAUGUAAAUAUCUCCUCGUACAGUCUCCAAGUCAUCUUCAGUCUUACAUGUGGUCUCAUCGCACCCCCACACACCUCUACACAUGAUACCGACACACCAAUGCCUUACAAAAUGAGUGCAUGUGACUAGCUUCUAUCUACUCCUUAUAUAACCCGACCACAAGACAACCAAGGCGCGAACUCAAGCAUGAAACAAGAGCAAGAGUAAUGGAGCUAAGGAAGACAAGCUGCUGCCAGUGUUCAUGUGUGUUGGUGCUAAGUGAGUGCAAGAGCUCGAACUUAAACUUGACGGGGAAGAGAAAGACAUAUAUUGAAGGUGUGGUACAGAUAAUUAGCACUUUUUAAGGUAAGGGAAGGGAAGGGAAGGUUAGGGAAGGUAAGGUUAGGUUAGGUAUGGUAAGGUUAGGUAAGGUUCGGUUAGGUUAGGUAAGGAAGGUUAGGUUAGGUUUGGUAUGGUUAAGUUAGGUAAGGUUAGGUAAGAUUGGGCAAGGUUGGGUAAGGUAAGGUAUGGUAAGGUUAGGUAAGGUUAGGUAAGGUAAGGUAAGGUUAGGUAAGGUUAGGUUUGGUUAGGUUAGGUUAGGUAAGGUUAGGUAAGGUUAGGUAGGGUUAGGUAAGGUUAGGUUAAGUUAGAUAAAGUAAGGAAAGCCAAAUCAAGGUAAGGUGAGGUUUUCAAGGCAAGCUAAGGUAUGGUAGGGUAAGGUAACAUCAUAAGGUAACAUCAAGGUAAGGUAAGGUACAGCAACACUCCAUCACUGGGCGCGCAGCAACACCCACAGGAGUUUUCCGGGCGACCAAUAGUUCACAUCACGCUCCACCCUUGCGUUAAAAUCGUCUAGUAUCACAUUGACGUAAUUCUAGAGUUGACUACAUCAGCACACAGGAGGCAUCACA
Molecule: long non-coding RNA, 2635 nt
Organism: Eriocheir sinensis (Chinese mitten crab)
Lineage: Eukaryota; Metazoa; Arthropoda; Malacostraca; Decapoda; Varunidae
Exons: 3
Source: RefSeq, a predicted model, not a curated record